RNAcentral lists this transfer RNA (70 nucleotides) under Marmota monax (woodchuck). RNAcentral describes it as "tRNA.Ala". The record is from RNAcentral. Lineage: Eukaryota; Metazoa; Chordata; Mammalia; Rodentia; Sciuridae.
GGGCUGGGGCUCAGUGGUAGUGCACUUGUCUGGCAUAUGUGAGGCACUGAGUUCGAGUCUCAGCACCCCA